This 211-nucleotide ribosomal RNA is filed under the name uncultured prokaryote. RNAcentral's name for it is "partial 16S ribosomal RNA". It matches the Rfam family "Bacterial small subunit ribosomal RNA", at positions 524 to 734 of the family's 1533-position model. The record is from RNAcentral.
UACGGAGGGGGCCAGCGUUGCUCGGAAUUAUUGGGCGUAAAGGGCGCGUAGGCGGCUUGGUAAGUUUGAUGUGAAAUCCCAUGGCUUAACCAUGGAACUGCAUCUCAUACUGCCGAGCUAGAGUCUGGGAGAGGGAAGUGGAAUUCCCGGUGUAGCGGUGAAAUGCGUAGAUAUCGGGAGGAAUACCUAUGGCGAAAGCAGGCUACUGGAC